AGGAUAAACGCUGGCGGCGUGCAUGAGACAUGCAAGUCGAACGGACGAUCAGGGCUUGCUCUGAUCGUUAGUGGCGGACGGCUGAGUAACGCGUAGGUGACCUGCCCCGAAGUGGGGAAUAACUGCCCGAAAGGGUGGCUAAUACCGCAUGUGGUGGUGUGUUCAUUCACACCAGUAAAGCCGCAAGGCGCUUCGGGAGGGGCCUGCGUCCGAUUAGCUCGUUGGUGGGUAACGGCUCACCAAGGCGACGAUCGGUAGGUGGUCUGAGAGGACGAUCACCCAGACUGGGACUGAGACACGGCCCAGACUCCUACGGGAGGCAGCAGUCGGGAAUUUUGCGCAAUGGACGAAAGUCUGACGCAGCAACGCCGCGUGAGGGAUGAAGGCCUUCGGGUUGUAAACCUCUUUAUCAGGGAAGAUAAUGACGGUACCUGAUGAAUAAGUCACGGCUAACUACGUGCCAGCAGCCGC
RNAcentral lists this ribosomal RNA (471 nucleotides) under uncultured bacterium. RNAcentral's name for it is "SSU rRNA". It matches the Rfam family "Bacterial small subunit ribosomal RNA", at positions 26 to 518 of the family's 1533-position model. The record is from RNAcentral.